This 471-nucleotide ribosomal RNA is filed under the name uncultured bacterium. Its description in RNAcentral is "bacterial SSU rRNA". It matches the Rfam family "Bacterial small subunit ribosomal RNA", at positions 364 to 832 of the family's 1533-position model. The record is from RNAcentral.
UUCGCAAUGCCCGAAAGGGUGAACGAGCGACGCCGCGUGCGGGAUGAAGGGUUUCGGCUUGUAAACCGCUUUUCUUUGGGAAGAAGGUUUGUCUCGUGCAGAUGGGCUCGACGGUACCAGAGGAAUAAGCCUCGGCUAACUCCGUGCCAGCAGCCGCGGUAAGACGGAGGAGGCAAGCGUUGUUCGGAAUUAUUGGGCGUAAAGGGCGCGUAGGCGGGCUGUCAAGUCUGGGGUGAAAUCCCACGGCUCAACCGUGGAACUGCCUUAGGUACUGACGGCCUCGAGGGAGAUAGGGGCGAGCGGAACUGUGAGUGGAGCGGUGAAAUGCGUUGAUAUUCACAGGAACUCCGGUGGCGAAGGCGGCUCGCUGGAUCUUUUCUGACGCUGAGGCGCGAAAGCUAGGGGAGCAAACGGGAUUAGAUACCCCGGUAGUCCUAGCCGUAAACGAUGGGCACUAAGUAGAGGGGUUUU